GAUGAACGCUGGCGGCGUGCCUAAUACAUGCAAGUCGAGCGAACAGACGAGGGCCUUCCUCCUCUGACGAUUGCCGCGCACGUGUGUGUCACGCGUGGAUAACCUCCCUAUAAGACUGGGAUAACUUCGAGAAACCGGCUCUAAUAGCAUGACAUCUGUUGAACCACAUGAUUCGAUAGUGAGAGACGGUUUUUCUACUACUUAUAGAUGCAUCGUCUCCUCAUUAGGUAGUUGGGAAGGUAACGGCUUACGACGGCAACGAUGAGUAGCCGACCUGAGAGGGUGAUCGGCAACACUGGACCUGAGACCCGGUCCAGACUCCUACGGGAGCCAGCGGUAGGAAAUCUUCCGAAAUGGGCGAAAGCUUACCGGGGCACCGCCGCGUGAGGGAGGAAGGUCUUCGGUUCUAAAGACUCGUUUAUUAGGGAAGAACAAUUGUGUAAUUAACUAUGCACGCUUUGACGGUACCUUAUCAGAAAGCCACGGCUAACUACGUG
Molecule: ribosomal RNA, 497 nt
Filed under: uncultured bacterium
Lineage: Bacteria
Description: partial 16S ribosomal RNA
Rfam family: Bacterial small subunit ribosomal RNA
Source: RNAcentral